This 433-nucleotide long non-coding RNA is filed under the name Lonchura striata (white-rumped munia). Its description in RNAcentral is "domestica (Bengalese finch) lncRNA (ENSLSDG00000006632.1)". Lineage: Eukaryota; Metazoa; Chordata; Aves; Passeriformes; Estrildidae. The record is from RNAcentral.
GCUGCACGGGCCGGCGCCGCUUUGGAACCCGCCCCGGGCAGAGCGCGGCUGCUUUUGGGUGUCGGCACCUGCCCGGGCCGGGCUGGGAGCGGAGGCGGAGCGGGAGGAAGAGGAGGGACGGAAGAGGAGGAGCAGGAGCAGCACCAACACCACGCUGUUUCCCGUCUCAGGUUGCAGCUGCCCCGGGUCCACCAGUAUCGCUCCCCCUCGAACCCACAGGGAGGAGCAGUCCCAGCCGGGGAGUCUGGGAUGGACGGGGGCAGGAGAGACUGGACACUGGUGCAGAUGGACACAGACACAGGAGCCAUGGAUCCCACUCUGGAUGGACACUGGUCCAGAAGGAUCCCAGCUGGCCACUGGCAUGCUAGGGUGUUACCGACCCUCCAAGGGGCCCAAAGAGCUGCAGGGACCCAAGAGGACACGAGAGGAUGAG